GGUUGACCUCGGAUCAGGUAGGGAUACCCGCUGAACUUAAGCAUAUCAAUAAGCGGAGGAAAAGAAACCAACCGGGAUUGCCUCAGUAACGGCGAGUGAAGCGGCAACAGCUCAAAUUUGAAAUCUGGCUCCGUGCGGGGUCCGAGUUGUAAUUUGUAGAGGGUGUUUCGGGUGCGGUGCCGGUCUAAGUUCCUUGGAACAGGACGUCAUAGAGGGUGAGAAUCCCGUCUGCGAGUCGGCCACCAACCCCGGGUGAAACCCCUUCGACGAGUCGAGUUGUUUGGGAAUGCAGCUCAAAAUGGGUGGUAAAUUUCAUCUAAAGCUAAAUACCGGCCAGAGACCGAUAGCGCACAAGUAGAGUGAUCGAAAGAUGAAAAGCACUUUGGAAAGAGAGUUAAAAAGUACGUGAAAUUGUUGAAAGGGAAGCGCUUGCGACCAGACCUGUUCCCGGGCGAUCAUCCGCCAUUCGUGGCGGUGCACUCGCCCGGACGCAGGCCAGCAUCGGUUUGGGCGGCGGGAUAAAGGGCUCGGGAAUGUAGCUCCCUCCGGGGAGCCUUAUAGCCCGGGUCGCCAUGCCGCCCGCCCGGACCGAGGACCGCGCUUCGGCUAGGAUGCUGGCGUAAUGGUCGCAAGCGACCCGUCUUGAAACACGGACCAAGGAGUCUACCAUCCAUGCGAGUGUUUGGGUGUCAAACCCAGGCGCGGAAUGAAAGUGAACGGAGGUGAGACCCCGCGAGGGCGCAUCAUCGACCGAUCCAGAUGUCUUCGGAUGGAUUUGAGUACGAGCAUGGCUGGUGGGACCCGAAAGAUGAUGAACUAUGCCUGAAUAGGGUGAAGCCAGAGGAAACUCUGGUGGAGGCUCGCAGCGGUUCUGACGUGCAAAUCGAUCGUCGAAUUUGGGUAUAGGGGCGAAAGACCAAUCGAAUCAUCUAGUAGCUGGUUUACGUC
Molecule: ribosomal RNA, 948 nt
Filed under: Psoroma hypnorum
Lineage: Eukaryota; Fungi; Ascomycota; Lecanoromycetes; Peltigerales; Pannariaceae
Description: eukaryotic LSU rRNA
Rfam family: Eukaryotic large subunit ribosomal RNA
Source: RNAcentral